GAAUUUUGGACAAUGGGGGAAACCCUGAUCCAGCCAUCCCGCGUGUAUGAUGAAGGCCUUCGGGUUGUAAAGUACUUUUGGCAGAGAAGAAAAGGUAUCCCCUAAUACGGGAUACUGCUGACGGUAUCUGCAGAAGAAGCACCGGCUAACUACGUGCCAGCAGCCGCGGUAAUACGUAGGGUGCAAGCGUUAAUCGGAAUUACUGGGCGUAAGGAGUGUGUAGCCGGUUCGGAAAGAAAGAUGUGAAACCCAAGGGCCCAACCUUGAACCUGCAUUUUUAAUUGCCGGGCUGGGUAAGGUCAGAGGGGGUAGAAUUCCACGUGUAGCAGUGAAAUGCGUAGAUAUGUGGAGGAAUACCGAUGGCGAAGGCAGCCCCCUGGGAUAAUACUGACGCUCAGACACGAAAGCGUGGGGAGCAAACAGG
RNAcentral lists this ribosomal RNA (424 nucleotides) under uncultured bacterium. RNAcentral's name for it is "partial 16S ribosomal RNA". It matches the Rfam family "Bacterial small subunit ribosomal RNA", at positions 359 to 776 of the family's 1533-position model. The record is from RNAcentral.